GAAGCAGUGAUGGAGCACCUGGUGGGAAGGCAGGGCCAACCCAGGGGAGCUCAGGUGCAUGCAAUGUACCUGAGUGACUGGAGGGGUAGAGCCAGGAUUCACCCCUUCCCAGACCUCAUUUAAAGGUUGGCAGUGGAGGUGAGGGUAUCUCUUGCUGGAGAUUUCUGCCUACUUGAGGCCUUCCAAAGGUAAGUGGCUUUUUUCCUUCGUGUGUGCGGGUGCUGCAUUUGGGCUCAUUCUCAUUUGCUGUAGCCAAAGACUUUGCUAUCCCACUAUUAUUGCAAUACCUUCAAUACUGUUAUAGCAUUACAGUAGGAUUUAGAAAAUUAGUAUUAUGUUUAUCAUAGACACAGCCUCUUCCUUUCUCUGGUGAAUCAAAAAAGAAUCAGGGUGCUGAUGAUAAGGCUAAGAAGGAGAGUUAGCAUCAUUUCAAGAGGAGUGGAAACAAGCCUGAACCUGAUGUGUUCUUCAAAAUAAACCUUGGGGCUCUCAGAAGAGACCAUUCCUCUGGCAGUAUCUGAGCCUGACAGAGCAACAAGAGACAUUAGUUCUCAGCUGUGGACCUUGCUUCCUCUGCCUGGGCUACACUUCACACCAUUUGUACCCAACAGAUGAAAGUGUCAGCACUGGUCAUCGCGCUAUAGCUUUUUACAUACAUCUUCCAUUUUUACAGACAAGCCUGGAUGCAAAUAUUUGUAGUCUGGAGAAGUAGUUUGGCAACCUAAUUUAUAAGCGUUAAUGGAUAAUUGUUAGCAAUUAAAUGUUUGAUUACCCAACUGAGCCUAUGGAUCAGGUUGCUAGAUUUCCAUCUGCUAAUAGCUGUGUGCACAGGGGAUCAUGGGGCUGGAAACAGGAGCAAAGACGGGGUGUAAAGAUGCAAAUCUAACUCAGC
Molecule: long non-coding RNA, 892 nt
Filed under: Numida meleagris (helmeted guineafowl)
Lineage: Eukaryota; Metazoa; Chordata; Aves; Galliformes; Numididae
Description: lncRNA (ENSNMEG00000015898.1)
Source: RNAcentral